UCCCCAGACCCCAGACAGGGUGAGGAGGAAACCAGAGUUGGCAAGAAGCUUAAAAAACUUAAGAAGGAAAAAAAGGGGGCCCAGGACCCCACAGCUUUCUCAGUCCAGGACCCUUGGUUCUGCGAGGUCGGGGAUGCUGUGGACACUUGCUCAGUGGGGAAGGAGGGUGAGGAACAGGUAGCCUUGGGGCAGAAGCGGAAGCACAAGAGCCCCAGGGAACACGGUGGGAAGGCGAAGAAGAAAAAAAAAUCCACCAGGAGGGAGACGCCCUCCCAAGCCACUCCAAGCCCUCCAGGUCCAUGGAGAGCUGCCCUAGGAAACGAAGUAAAAAGAAGCCAGUCAAAGUGGAGGCUCCGGAAUACAUCCCCAUAGGAGAUGGCCCUAAAACCCCCGCGAAGAAAAAGAUGAAGUCCAAGAAGAAGGUAAAGCAGCCAGUCAUUGAGGAGCCGGCUCUGCAAAGGAAGAAAAAGAAAAGGAAAGAGAGUGGGGUAGCAGGAGACCCUUGAAAGGAGGAAACAGACACGGACUUGGAGGUGGUGUUGGAAAAGAAAGGCAACAUGGACUAGGCGCACAUAGACCAGGGGCGAAAGGCCUUGCAAGAAGAGACUGAUCGCCAGUCAGGCAAAACGGAAGCUUCUGAAACCAGGAAGUGGACGGGAAGCCAGUUUGGCCAGUGGGAUACUGCUGGUUUUGAGAACGAGGAACAGAAACUGAAAUUUCUCAAACUUACGGGUGGCUUCAAAAACUUGUCCCCUUCGAUUAGCCCCCACCCCCACCCCCACCCUCCCGCCCCACCCAGCCCGAUUGCAAGGUCCAACGUGGCCCUCAGUAAGAAGGUGGCCGACAGUCUGCAGCAGAGCCUGCAGCGGGAAUAUGGCCUGGCCAUGAGCUGAAAGUACAGCCGCGGAGCCGGCCUCGGCUUCUCCACCGCCCCGAACAAGAUCUUUUAUAUUGACAGGAAUGCUUCCAAGUCAGUCAAGCUGGAAGAU
This 989-nucleotide long non-coding RNA is filed under the name Homo sapiens (human). RNAcentral's name for it is "non-protein coding lnc-LRMP-9:1". Lineage: Eukaryota; Metazoa; Chordata; Mammalia; Primates; Hominidae. The record is from RNAcentral.